GCCAAAAGAAAGCACUUGAGCACUUAAAACCAAACUUUGCCUGCAUACACAGGGGUGGGACUGCCCAAAGUCAUUUCGGAGCAAUUUUUGGAGCAAACAAAAUUGCGUUUUGGAGCAGCGUGGAGCAGACUAAAUUUCAUUUUGUAGUAAUGUGGAGCAGAUAAAGUUUCAUUUUGAAGCAGUUUGGAAAGCAACUGAAUCUUGGUGGAAUAAUUGAAUAUGGCAGCAGACUUGGAAACUAUGACGAAGCACAGAAUAAAUCACCAAGAAGCGCAUAGUGGAAUCGUGCUUUGUAGUUAUUGCGUACAAGAAUAUGGAAGAAUGGGUCGAACGGUGGCACGGCGCAUGCUUUUCUGUAAAGCCGAAAACAUCGGUGGUAGUACGAUCGAACUACAUAUUCCCACGCCGACGCUCAUAGUGAUAGCAGAAAAUGUUCUCAAAUUAUGCGGUCUAAUCGACGCGGUAAAAUAAUUUCUGGGGCACCAUAUGUCACCGCAUAUCCAGAUAGGCAUAGAAAAUUUUGGGCUGGUAUAACGCAAAGCUAUCCCGAACUGCUUUUAUUGCAAUAUUAUAUGAACACUCCAGAGCAUUUUUGCCGUUGCCGUGAUGUUCCGUAUAAAGUCCAAGGUCGAUAACACUGUGGCCGCAAAUGCGAGUGAAAGCAUGUGAGGGGAGCCGACGAUCGCGGCUCAAUCUGGCGAGCACGAGGGAGGGAGGAAAGCGGAGCAAACUAUGUGGCGUGAAAGGCCGUGAGGAGAUGGGGGGAGGUAGGGGCGCUGUUCUCCGGCAGCAAUUGUGUAUUUCGCGACCAGACGCAAGGGGAACUGACGAUCGCAGCUCAAUCUUGCACGCGAAAGGGAGGAAAGUGGGGAGGCAGCGCGGGAGGGACGAGGGCAGCUUCUCCACCAAUAACUGUGCACUUUGCGCAGCCGCGCGUGCCAUAACCUGAAAGCGACCUGCAGACGGCUCAUAUGCCUUUGUGCGUCCUGUGUUCUCGCCGUUCAGUUUGCGUUGAAGCGAUAGACAGCACGAAGGUCACUUCACUCGCUGCGGCUGUUGCGCUUACCAGCAGCAGCGAGCGUCCGCGGACACCGAGUGUGAUGUGUUUGUUUGCUUGUGCGCUCUGAAACCAUAAUUGCUACACAAAUUCAGUUAAUAAGGCAAUGUUUCCAAGGUUAUAUGGCUGAUAAAGCUACUGUACUUUGUGUAGCUGUCUACCAAUUUGCUAACACAAUCGAUGCUUUGCCUUUGGGCAAAACUGCGACUUUUUAUUCCAAAUCUGCCAUUAGUCCGUGCUGGAUGAAAAUGGCUGAGGCCUCGCCCAUAUGACCGUAAGCACGGACUAAAAAUUGGAGGACGCUUAAGCUUUGCCUUUAGAGUAGAACGAGAUAGCGUUAUUGGGACCCGUUCACAUUGCAUACGGCAAGUAGGCUUCAUUCACUGCAACACUGAACGUGGGAAACCCAGCUUACAAAGACCAAGCUUACGAUCCCUUUAAGGUCGGCUUCACUUUUAAACUGAAAUGUAGUGCUGGAAAGACGUUUUUCCAGCGGCAAUAUAAGUGGUCUUACAUUAAAAUGUGAAGGCCCUAGCACCAUUUUUUAUUAUUUUAUUAAUUGUUUGCUAUUGCCCCGACGCUUGCAGGUCUGGUAGAAAUGCUGGAAAAGAUGUUUGUGUUCGAGUUUCCUCGUAGCAGAAUUAGGUUUUCUUGUACAUUCAAAUUACAAUCCGACGCCGAUUAGUAAACAAUCCGACGGCAAAUCCAACGCCGAAUUUUCUGACGGAUUUCGCUCUGAUAAAUUCAAAUUUUGUUCACCAAAACUUUGCACCACGUGGAGGGCCUGCACGGUUGAUGUGGUUGGACGAUUUUCUCCGCCUCCCGCCGGUUGCAGACGCCGGAUUUUCUGCGACACGGGGCCCUAAACACUAUUGCGUUAAAUUGUUUUAGGUUAUACCGGCCCUGGGGACAGAGACGUCCGCCCGCUGCGGCGCGUGCCUCCCUAACAUCUAGUUUGCUCACAAUGCCCUCAGCCUAUAUUUCCUUGUUUUGCGCCUCAGCUAGGGAGCGCCGCGCCACUCAGCCUACUCGACCAUAUUGUAGUACACUCUUAAUACAGCCGCCCUGGCCGUUCUGACAGCAGCAAAAACAGGCACGAGUGGCCGCGCGCGCACCGGCCACUUGCCGGAAGCGCCGAAAAGUCCAGCUUUAUGAGCACGAAAACUACGAGAAACUGUGCAGGAAGCGCUGUCGGCGGUGUGCGGAAUGUGAACGGCUGUACUCUUUUUCGGAGAACGAAUCCGCUGGCUGCUCGCAGCCACUGCCGAAGCCGUUCCGGCGCAGCGUGGCACAAUUUCGGUCAAUUUUCCAUGUUUGGCGCAGGAAUUAGCGUUUGUAUCAAAAUGGCGCAAUUGGCGCAGGAGUCUCACCCACUGCAUACAUCGCUAGAAUUAAAACUCGUAGCAGGAUGCACCAACCAUCCAACCAUUGCACAACAUUCGCAAUUAGUAAUUUCUAUCAAGGUGUUGCACCCCACACAGACUCCCGAGAUUGGUGGCCCCUGUCCAUGUGUUGUGGUGGCCACAAUAUGCAAUAUUGUAGAUGAGGA
Molecule: long non-coding RNA, 2606 nt
Organism: Dermacentor silvarum
Lineage: Eukaryota; Metazoa; Arthropoda; Arachnida; Ixodida; Ixodidae
Exons: 2
Source: RefSeq, a predicted model, not a curated record